This 494-nucleotide ribosomal RNA is filed under the name uncultured bacterium. Its description in RNAcentral is "partial 16S ribosomal RNA". It matches the Rfam family "Bacterial small subunit ribosomal RNA", at positions 28 to 507 of the family's 1533-position model. The record is from RNAcentral.
GAUGAACGCUGGCGGCGUGCUUAACACAUGCAAGUCGAACGGUGAAGCGCCUUCCUUUUUGGUGGGUCUGGAUGAGUGGCGAACGGGUGAGUAACUCGUGAGUAACCUUCCCCCUUCUUCUGGAUAACCGCAUGAAAGAGUUGCUAAUACGGGAUAUUCUGGGUCUGUCGCAUGAUGGGUCUGGGAAAGUUUUUGUUUCGGUGGGGGAUGGACUCGCGGCCUAUCAGCUUGUUGGUGGGGUGAUGGCCUACCAAGGCGGUGACGAGUAGCCGGCCUGAGAGGGUCGACGACAACGCAGGGGAGGCGAGGCCGAGAAGACUACUACGGGAGGCAGUAGGGAAGAUUAUGGAACGAUGGGAGGAAGGCUGAUGCAACGCCGCGGCAGGGAUGAUGGAGUCCGGCGGGUAGAGAACCGCUAUCGCGAAAGAAGAAGGGCGGAAUCGAUUGUGGGUGGGUUGACGGUAGCUAAACAGAAAGCGCCGGCUAACUACGUG